This 108-nucleotide transfer RNA is filed under the name Annulohypoxylon nitens. Its description in RNAcentral is "tRNA-Ile". It matches the Rfam family "tRNA". Rfam says of the family: Transfer RNA (tRNA) molecules are approximately 80 nucleotides in length. RNAcentral also lists the same sequence under 1 other name. Lineage: Eukaryota; Fungi; Ascomycota; Sordariomycetes; Xylariales; Hypoxylaceae. The record is from RNAcentral.
GGUCCCAUAGCUCAGUUGGUUAGAGCGUCGUACUAAUAUGUUCCUGUCUUCUGGAUGAGAAAUAUUAAGUAAAUGCGAAGGCCGAGAGUUCAAGCCUCUCUGGGACCA